GUACAUUGGAUUACAUAAGCUCAAUUCCUACCCGAUUAUGUAGUUUCGCCGUGGGCAUUUACUCCGAUUAUAAUCAGCUAAUCUGCAUAAUCCACAACGCUUACCGUCAAAUUUCUCCCUAAUGCCCAUUUCGUUAUGGAUUCUGGAUGAUUGCAGAUGACCUUUCGGAUUCCUAUGUAACUGUAACACCCUUUGCCCUUAUCCGACGCCGGGACGGGGUUCGAGGUGCUACCUGACUUUUACUAACACUUCUAUACUAAACAGGGCCAUGAAAUCUCAAAUAAUUAAAAACUUUUCUUUUCACAUACAAUUUGUCCCAUAUACGGGCUUACGAGGCUCAAAACAUACAUCUAGAGUGGUUCGGGACCCAAUCGAGAACUCAUGAAAAACUUAGAAAAUCUCUUGCAUCAAGGCUUCAUACGCCCGUGUGGGUAUAGAGCACACACCCGUGUGCUGGGGACACGCCCGUGUCCCGAACCCGUGUCCAAAAACCUAGACAAAUACAAGGCUAUUUUCCAAGCCAUUUUGUCACACUCACAACAGAUGCACGCAUACUUAUACAAUAACAUACAACAUGGCAAAAUUAGGUACUUAAACAUUCCUAACAUGUCAUGAUUAUGGCAAUUUCACAUGCAAUAGAUAUCAUAGAUUUUACUCACAUCUUUACCACAUUCAUGCUAUAAUCAUUAUAAACUCAUCACAUAAUACCAUAGCACAUGCAUGCAUAAUUAAAAUGGAUUUACAACCCCAUAAUCAAAAUAGGCCAACACAUAUGGCUAAAGCCAUAUCACAUACUCUAAUAUUUAAACUCCUAUACAUGCCAUAGGCUCAAAGUACUUGAAAUCACUACACCAAUAACGUUAGCUUGACAGUGUGAUAAUAUCUCCGACGAACUCCAACCCGAGCUAACCUGGCAACCCUAGGAAAUAUGGGAAAGAAGGAGGGGUAAGCUUUCACUUAGUAAGUUCAUAUGAAAACAAUAAGCAACUCAUUAACUUGUUUUAUCAAUGUUUACAACAUAUUCUCAAGUUCACUACAAGCUGUCUUUCUGAGCAAUAGUCACUAAAUUAUUUAUAUCUGGAGCUACGAAACUCCGAAUUAAGUUCCGUUAAUUUUCCAUAAAACUAGACUUAUUUUCCUUUCUUCCAUAAAAUUUCCAGAAUUUUUGGUUAAGCCAAAUAGUACAGUUUAUUCCUCAAAGUUACCCCUGAUUCACUGUCUGAUAGUUCCGACCCUUCUGUACUAAAGUUCAAUUAUCUCAUAGUACAAGACUCGAAUAAUGUUCUCGUCUAUUUCUCUUGAAACUAGACUCAUAUUUAUACUUACUAAUUUUUUUAUAAAAUUUUUGGUUGGGCCAAUUAGUACAAUUUAUUAGUUAAAUUCUCCCCUGUUUCAGGGUAUGACCACUCUGACCCCUGUGCACUACGAACCGAAUUUCGCCCUGUACAGAAUUCCAACGAUCAUUCCGUUUAUUGCCCCUAAAAAUAGACUCAAUAAGGAAUCCAUGAAUAUAAGGUAUUACUCUUAAUAAUUUUUGUACAAUUUUUGGUGAAUUUCUAAAUUCAGAAUAGGGGAACUCGAAUUCAUUCAGACCCUGUUUCACAAAAAUUCAAAUAUCACACAAUAUGGAAUUCUUUUUCUUCCCUUGUUUCUUUCAUGUGAAAAUAUACUCAUUAAGAUUUAAUCCCAUAUUUUAUUCUGCCUCUAACUCAUUUUCCAAUAUUUUUAGUGUAUUUUCAAAGUUACACUACUGCAGUAACUCAAAUCUGUCAAGGCUAAAUUACUAAUUCAUGAUCAUUGUUCACAAAAUUAAUACAACAUCAAUUAUAUAAUCAUCACCGAGACAUUCAUAUCACAUUUUCAUUUACCAUCUUACCAUUUUGUUGUUAUGUCGAGUUUUCAACCCGAGGGUUAAGUAUAUACCUGUUCAAAGUGCCACAUAUAUAGCCAAGCUACUAUGUAACCCACCCAUAAGUGAACUCGGACUCAACUCAACGAGCUCGGAUGCCUAGUUACAUCUCACGAACUCGGACUCAACUCAACGAGUUCGAACAUUCGCAUCCAUAAGUGAACUCGGACUCAACUCAACGAGCUCGGAUGCCCAAAUAUUCCAGUGACAUGUCACUUGUAUCCUAAUCUAUUCCUAAGGUUCAACGGGACCUUUUUCCCAAUCAUGUGUCUCAACCAUCUUCUAGGGAAUGUCGAUACUAAUACUCGGUAGUAUUUCACAUUUUCCAAGUAUAUCAUAUAAUUUGACAUAUUAUCAAACAAUUAUCACAAGUAUAAUAUAUCAUAAUAAUUAUCAUAUAAUUUAAAUAACAUCAAAACAUUUAACAUUUACAUAUGAACUUACCUCGAUACCACAAAGGUAAAAAAGACGUAAUUAUCCCUUAAUCGAUUUCUUUCCGUUCUAGGUCAAAAUCUCGAUUUUCACCAUCUAAAAUAUCACAUUCAACUUAUUAAAACAAUGUACUGAUCAAAUUAGUCCAUUGACACACUUGAGCAAUUUUUACAAUUUUGCCCCUAUAUUUUGCCAAAAUUACCAAAUUACCCCUAGGCUCGUAAAAUUUUUUUUAUCACAUUUCUUUACUCCUUGAGUCUAGAUGAACCAUUUUCAUAACUAUAGCAACUCAUAAUUUCAACUAUUUCACACAUUUACAACUCAUUUUACAACUUAGCAAUCUAGCCAUUUUUAAGGUGUUUUCAUGCAAUUUCUUUCACAAAAAGUUGUUUAUUAGACAACUAGGACUCAUAAUAUUCUAUAAAAACACAGCAAACAACACAUUUACUCUCAUGGAAAAACCCUAGACUCUUCAUCAUUUUGCAAAAUAGACCCCCCAUAUGAAAGCUCAUACUUUAGGGGUUCCAAAAAUGUAAAAAUCAUCAAGAAAGACAUUAAAAAUCACUUACUAGCAAGGGAUGUAAGUGGCUGAUAUUUCAGAGCUUCAAAACCCCUUUCUUUUCUUCCAUUUUCGGUGGAGGAGAAGAGAAAAAUGAUAGCUUUUUCUUUUUAAUUUGUCAAUAA
RNAcentral lists this long non-coding RNA (3025 nucleotides) under Gossypium barbadense (sea-island cotton). RNAcentral's name for it is "long non-coding RNA (GBAR_LNC011213)". The record is from RNAcentral. Lineage: Eukaryota; Viridiplantae; Streptophyta; Magnoliopsida; Malvales; Malvaceae.